ACCACAUUCAAGUUUAAGGACGAAAUUGAAUUUCAUCUCUAAAAAAAUUGGACCCUAACCGACCCAUUUCAUUUAGAUAAAUUUCUACAGUUGCAUAUGCUAAAGAGCUCUCUCGCACGAUCUGCAUUAACAAAUAAUCACUUCUGCUGAAAAUGGGGUUAUGGACAAUACUGGAAGGGUUUUUGCUGCUUGCAAAUGCAAUGGCAAUAUUAAACGAGGAUCGAUUCCCUGCACCCAGAGGUUGGAGUUUCUCGGAAUUUUCUACAGGGCAGACCAAAUCAUUUAAAGGCCAGCUUAUUGGUCUUAUUUAUGCUACCCAAUACAUGAGACUUCCUCUUAUUCUACUCAAUGCUAUCUGCAUUGUUGUAAUGUUGAUUUCUGGUUGAUGAUUGCAUUGCUCUUUCAAGUUCAGAUGUUAUUGUUUAUGACUUACUAUUACGUGAUAGGGAUUUAAAUAGCGGUAGCUAGCUCAAGUACUAUCAUAUACCCCUAUAAGUGACCUAUAUGCCAUAAGUCGGGUUCAAACUCCACCAAGGGCAAGCCACUCAAGUUGCCUCUUAGUGGGCGACUGUAUGCCCACGUAUAGUUGAAGUGCUCCCAGCUCUGUGAACCAGGUUCUCAGGGCAGCUCCUCAUGGCAUGUUGGCUCUCGACAGAGCACAGGAGACAAAAUCCUCUCUCAGGACAGUACCUUCGGUUGUUGGGGGACUGGCAACACUAUUCCGUGGUUAUUUUGCAGUUUCGACUCUCUACACGUGGUCGAUUAAACAGGGCAGGUAUUAGGCAUUCUGUUUUGGCUGGUUUUGGUUUGUGAUUUGAACAAUUUGGCAUGGAUUUGUUCAUUUAAUACUGCAAGUUUCUAUUGUGUUGCAUUGAUGCAAAUGUUGAAUAGGACAGAGUAGGAAAUGCAGAACUGGAUCAAUUCCUUUUAUUGGAACAUAUAAAUUACGUAAACAAGACUGGUGGAUCGAAUCGGCUACCUGUCAAAGAGAGAAAACGGCUUUUUGGCAGAAUUCAUGAAGUUGAACCCGGAAAAUCGGAAACGUGCAAGAGGUUGUGAAAGAUGGGAGCGUUCAGUUCAAAAAAUCAGCGGAUAAGUUCUUAAAAUCGAAUUUUAGGUUUUGUGAUGGGAUCAUAUUGAACUGGGAAAUGCAUCAUUUGUAUCAUUUGGGACAGCUUCUGCACUGUCAUUUUGAAGUACACAGUUUUAUUAUGGCUGAAAUUUGCUAUUAUUUGGCAUCACUUCAUGUAUCUGUUCUUUUGUUAGGCCUAACAGAAGUUUUUGGUCAGCUGGCACCGGGACAUGUACAUUUAAUAUUCUCAAAUAAAUUCAUUUAAUUUAAAUGAAUGAACAUGUACACACAACUAUAAUUUUUUUUAAAGAACAUUCCUUCAAGCUUGGUGUUCAUUUAGAUUAAUUAAGCCUGUAUCAAUAAACAAUGGCAUUGUUGAAAGGGUAAAUUAUUCUCAA
Molecule: RNA transcript, 1470 nt
Organism: Gossypium raimondii (Peruvian cotton)
Lineage: Eukaryota; Viridiplantae; Streptophyta; Magnoliopsida; Malvales; Malvaceae
Exons: 3
Source: RefSeq, a predicted model, not a curated record